CUGUGCUGUUUCAAAACCCUGGCCCAAGUCUGAUCUGGGGACAGGGUGCCAGGAGGCUCUGGGGGCAACAGGGCAGCCCUUCUUCCAGAGCAGGGGCUGCUUAUGAAAGAUCACAUCUGAUUCCUAAAGUGCUGGUAUAAAAUCCAGCAGAGAAAGAGGUCACCCCCACCCCACCCCGGCACAGACAUCAGCAGCACAUGAAAGGAGACACACAGAGGAAGGACUCACACCCAAAGAAAUGCAACUCUUCACCAGAAACCAAAGACAGGAAAAUUACACCAGGAGGCCAUUUGGAGCCUGUCGAGUCAACCAAGGGCCUGGAAGAGUGGCCCAAGGAGUGGUGGAACAUCCUAUCCUGCCAGCCACGGUCUCUUUGUCACAGCAUUUGGCCUGAAGGCACCCUCCCCCACCAGGCAAAAGACUGCAGAAGAUAAGAAGAAUGCACUAAGAAUCUGGUCCACUCCUGUCUGACGGCAAACUGGCCACUGUCUCUCUGCAGGGCAGUGAGGCGAUUUGCAGAAAGUCUGAAACUUUGCUCUACUUUUAACCCAGUGAUUCCACUCUAGGCUAUGUCCUAAGGGACUCAUUCUCAAAACAAAUUAAAAAAAUUUAUACUCACAGCAUUUUGUCACAGUGUUUUUUUUUUUUUUUUUCCUUAAGGCUACACCUGCAUCAUAUGGAAGUUCCCAGGCAAGGGGUCGAAUCAGAGCUACAGCUCUCAGCUUAAGCCACAGCCACAGCUACACCAGAUCCUGGCACAAUCUUA
RNAcentral lists this long non-coding RNA (766 nucleotides) under Sus scrofa (pig). Its description in RNAcentral is "lncRNA (ENSSSCG00050049713.1)". Lineage: Eukaryota; Metazoa; Chordata; Mammalia; Artiodactyla; Suidae. The record is from RNAcentral.